This 506-nucleotide ribosomal RNA is filed under the name uncultured bacterium. RNAcentral describes it as "partial 16S ribosomal RNA". It matches the Rfam family "Bacterial small subunit ribosomal RNA", at positions 29 to 523 of the family's 1533-position model. The record is from RNAcentral.
AGUGAACGCUGGCGGUAGGCCUAACACAUGCAAGUCGAACGGCAGCACAGAGGAGCUUGCUCCUUGGGUGGCGAGUGGCGGACGGGUGAGGAAUACAUCGGAAUCUACUCUGUCGUGGGGGAUAACGUAGGGAAACUUACGCUAAUACCGCAUACGACCUACGGGUGAAAGCAGGGGAUCUUCGGACCUUGCGCGAUUGAAUGAGCCGAUGUCGGAUUAGCUAGUUGGCGGGGUAAAGGCCCACCAAGGCGACGAUCCGUAGCUGGUCUGAGAGGAUGAUCAGCGACACUGGAACGGAGACACGGUCCAGACUCCUACGGGAGGCAGCAGUGGGGAAUAUUGGACAAUGGGCGCAAGCCUGAUCCAGCCAUACCGCGUGGGUGAAGAAGGCCUUCGGGUUGUAAAGCCCUUUUGUUGGGAAAGAAAUCCAUCUGGUUAAUACCCGGGUGGGAUGACAGUGCCCAAAGAAUAAGCACCGGCUAACUUCGUGCCAGCCGCCGCCGUAA